RNAcentral lists this long non-coding RNA (578 nucleotides) under Phoenix dactylifera (date palm). RNAcentral's name for it is "long non-coding RNA (PDAC_LNC017601)". Lineage: Eukaryota; Viridiplantae; Streptophyta; Magnoliopsida; Arecales; Arecaceae. The record is from RNAcentral.
GGCAUGUGUUUAGUCCCACAUCGGUUAUUCGCCAAAAAGAUCUUGCGUACUUAUACAGGAUUAAAGAAUCAAAAAAAUACUUUUUGGUUAGCUUUUUUGGGUGAGAUCUUGCAUUGUGAUACAUGGUAUUAGAGCGCACUCGGUCCAUAACCUAUGUGUACUCGAGGGACGCUGCAACACGGUUUCUUAAAAGCUGACCAUGAUGUGUGAUGAUUUUCUUGUGGUGCACGGUACCGAAGCUAUGGUGCGGGCCAUAAUCUAGCAAGUGGAGGUGUGGCAGCACUUGUGUCGUCUUUCCGGUCACGGUUCUCUUCACAUAUUGUCUCUAUUUAGCAAAAUAUCUUUUAGGAAUUGAUAUAUUAUUAUUAUUAUUAUUAUUUUGUCAAUAUAAAGAGACUCAUCCUAGCCAUUCCUUGUUAGUGGAUGAAAUUCACCUUGGUUGUUAAAUGGUUAUCUUUUGCUUAUCUAUUUAAAUGGCUAACCAUGAAACGAAUCACAUCCUUUUCUUUCUUAUUUUGCCCGACUAAUAGGGGAGGAGUUUCCCUCCCUGUUCGCCGGAGCCAGUCACCUCUUUCCUU